GCAAGUGUCAAGAACACACCUUUCGAAAGUGUUGUAAAAUGUUCUUGAAUAGUUCAAAACAGUUGGUUCUUCUACUUGAAUGCUUGAUUCCAUAUUAGUAACUAUGUUUUACAAUCGUUGUAAAAAUGUGACUAAUAAGAAGUAGAAGAUAUAUGAGAGAAGAAAAGGUGCUUCACAUUCGGAACGUGAAUAAAAUAUAGAUCUCUGCGAAAGCAGAUAGUACUUACUUCCUCAUAUGAACUACCAAAGAAAUUGGAAAAACCAUAGAUUGUCUUUACAUUCCAAUUUUAAGGAACUUAAUUCCGUCACUAUAGUAGAGAUGGAUGAAUGUUUUGUUUGACAAAACAUUGUUCUUUAUUAAUCAAUGAUUGGAUUAUAGUAAUCUAAUUGAUUGUCUCUAUAGUAGAGAUGAUAUGGUAGUGUUAACUGUUUAGAAUAAAAUGAUGCUUAAAACCCAAAAGGUUGCAAGGUAGUGACUAAUCCCAACUAAAGUUGUGAUACCUCUAAA
Molecule: long non-coding RNA, 508 nt
Filed under: Malus domestica (apple)
Lineage: Eukaryota; Viridiplantae; Streptophyta; Magnoliopsida; Rosales; Rosaceae
Description: long non-coding RNA (MDOM_LNC015456)
Source: RNAcentral